Molecule: long non-coding RNA, 1730 nt
Filed under: Olea europaea subsp. europaea
Lineage: Eukaryota; Viridiplantae; Streptophyta; Magnoliopsida; Lamiales; Oleaceae
Source: RNAcentral
AGUUCUUCUACAGUAUUGCUACAUGUAUAGCUACUGUUACAACUUGGCUUACAGUGCUGAUGUGGAAAUUGGAAGGAAAAAAAGAGAACACAACGGCCAAAACCGAUUCCCUACGCUAAUGGAAACCUAAUCCCUAAUUUUUACUCCACCCAUUGCGAUUGCUACCAAGAUAAAGCUCUCCCACUCUCCAAAAUGUCAGGCGACAUCGAUCGUCCGGCUGCAAAAAUGUCGGCGCCCGGGGUCUUCUUCCAGUUGCAGGAAUUUUUUUGGCGACCACCGAAAUACAUCUGGCCGCCGCAUAACCAGUACGAUCGUCAUUCCACCCUGUCCGUUGGCAACCCAUCAACAACUUCCUCAUUUAUCUUGGGUAACUAAGAAGAAGGUGACGUAUACGUGAUUUCUCUGCCAUUUAAAUUUCUAUACUUGAUAUCCAGCCAACGGUCUUGCACGGCUCCGCUCGUCUGGCCCUUUUUUCCGUUUGAAGGCUUUUGUUAUCAAUUUAAAAUUUUGAAAAUUGUGUGGGUUGGUCGUCAAUAUUGGUAGUGGAGCUCUUUGGCUCUUCUAGAUUUUUGAAAGUGAUGAAAGCAAGAUUAUAUUUCACAAUCGUCUUCAGUGUCAAUUGCAUUAUCUUCUUGUUUAAUUGCCAGGAUUAAUAGUGAAGGGAAGUGCAGUUUUCCAAUCUGCCCACCAGAUGUUUGAUGAAUGCUCAAACGUCGAUGUGAUGAAUAUAGUGUAAGGACACCAGUAGUUGAACAAUUUCGUGUAACUUCAACUAGAAAACUUCAACUAGAAAAUAUGAGAUAUCCACACAAAGUAAGAUCAAGGUUGAGUGUGGUCAAGCCCCACGAGGCACAUCCAAGUUGACAAAGGAAGGACAGUGUGGGGCUCGCAACCCCAGCGUGGGGAGUUCGAUUCCUGGUUGGAGCAGCUGAGUGUUGUAAUAACCAGAGGAAGGGUUGGAGCAGCUUGGUAAUGUAAUAACCAUAGAGGAGGCUCCCUUGGGGCCAGGAGUAUAAAGGCUGUUCGAACCCUGGUCAACUUGGGCACAUCCCGCGAUUUACCUCCUUGAGCUGCUGAGGGGCCGGAAGUUCAGGGACGAGGAUAUAGUCUGGCGUAAGAUAGGACACCUCGUUAAAAAAAAAAAAAAAAAAAAAAAGGUUGAGUGUGGUCAAUUUUCUUCAUGUCUUAAUUAGUUUAAUAUUCUUAUCCAAUGUUUAGAACUUAAACUAGAACAAGUAGUUCUGGUUUUCAAGCAAGACUAGUUUGGAAUCCUUCCACUUAAAUAACUUGUACACAUUUUAAACCUUGAUAGAUGUCUAGAAAAUCUGAAGUGGACGUGUAUGGAAUAGAUGUGAACAUCUAGAAAAUCUAAUGUUGAUUAAGUUUUCCAUGGCAUGUGAACCUCUAACUGCUUAAAUUUAUUUGGUUAUGAUGGUAUGUUUAAUAUUUCAUCUAAAAAAUUAAAUUUGUGUUAUGUUGAUGUGAUUCUUUCAUGCUGUUGAACUAGAUUAGUUCGAUGGCAAACAAGAAUAGGGAAAUUUGUCAUUGUUGUAGACAAGCAGGACAUACGUUGCUGGAAUGCCAAAAAAAAAAAAGAAAAUGAUGCCCAAACUAGGGUGCAGGCUUCACCAAAUGGAUGGAGGUGGAAAAGUACAAUGAACAUUGUAGAAUUCCUGAUUUUCAGUCCUAAUUUCUAGCAGAUCCUGCAACUGUAAAUUAGUUUCCCAAUU